GACGAACGCUGGCGGCGUGCUUAACACAUGCAAGUCGAACGGAAGGGCCCUGCUUUUGUGUUGUGCUCGAGUGGCGAACGGGUGAGUAACACGUGAGUAACCUGCCCUUGACUUUGGUAUAACUUCAGGAAACUGGGGCUAAUACCGUAUAUGAUCUCCUGCUGCAUGGUGGGGGUUGGAAAUUUUCGGCGGUUGGGGAUGGACUCGCGGCUUAUCAGCUUGUGGGUGGGGUAGUGGCUUACCAAGGCUUUGACGGGUAGCCGGCCUGAGAGGGGGACCGGCCAGAUUGGGACUGAGAUAAGGCCCAGACUCAUACGGGAGGCAGCAGUGGGGAAGAUUGUACAAUGGGAGGAAGCCUGAUGCAGUAACGCGGCGUGGGGGAUGACGGCCUGCGGGUUGGAAACCGCUUUCGCCUGUGACGAAGAGUGAGUGACGGUAAUGGGUAAAGAAGCACCGGCUAACUACGUG
Molecule: ribosomal RNA, 468 nt
Filed under: uncultured bacterium
Lineage: Bacteria
Description: partial 16S ribosomal RNA
Rfam family: Bacterial small subunit ribosomal RNA
Source: RNAcentral